CCUACGGGAGGCAGCAGUGGGGAAUAUUGGACAAUGGGCGAAAGCCUGAUCCAGCUAUGCCGCGUGUGUGAAGAAGGCCUUCGGGUUGUAAAGCACUUUCAGUGGGGAAGAAAGCCUUGGGGCUAAUACCCUCGAGGAAGGACAUCACCCACAGAAGAAGCACCGGCUAACUCCGUGCCAGCAGCCGCGGUAAUACGGAGGGUGCGAGCGUUAAUCGGAAUUACUGGGCGUAAAGCGCGCGUAGGCGGUCUGAUAAGCCGGUUGUGAAAGCCCCGGGCUCAACCUGGGAACGGCAUCCGGAACUGUCAGGCUAGAGUGCAGGAGAGGAAGGUAGAAUUCCCGGUGUAGCGGUGAAAUGCGUAGAGAUCGGGAGGAAUACCAGUGGCGAAGGCGGCCUUCUGGACUGACACUGACGCUGAGGUGCGAAAGCGUGGGUAGCAAACAGGAUUAGAUACCCUGGUAGUC
RNAcentral lists this ribosomal RNA (465 nucleotides) under Vreelandella stevensii. RNAcentral describes it as "partial 16S ribosomal RNA". It matches the Rfam family "Bacterial small subunit ribosomal RNA", at positions 338 to 795 of the family's 1533-position model. The record is from RNAcentral. Lineage: Bacteria; Pseudomonadati; Pseudomonadota; Gammaproteobacteria; Oceanospirillales; Halomonadaceae.